GGGGCUGUAGCUCAGCUGGGAGAGCACCUCCCUUGCACGGAGGGGGUCGCAGGUUCGAACCCUGUCAGCUCCA
RNAcentral lists this transfer RNA (73 nucleotides) under Fidelibacterota bacterium. RNAcentral's name for it is "tRNA-Ala". It matches the Rfam family "tRNA". Rfam says of the family: Transfer RNA (tRNA) molecules are approximately 80 nucleotides in length. The record is from RNAcentral. Lineage: Bacteria; Pseudomonadati; Fidelibacterota.